GCUCUACUGAGGUAGAUGCACCAUUUCACAACUUCAGCAAAAGCCAAGGCAGCCAACAAAGGCUCAGCCACCUCGGCUGAGCCUCUGCCUCUUGCCGCUCGGGCAGCUCACCAGCCACUCCUCUGAAACAGAUCAUGCCAUCCUUUCUUUUUAAAACCCACGUCAUCACUGGAUCAUAAUGGAAAUCAAUCUCCUCAAACACCAUGCAAAGGCGUAUCCAUAGCAACCCCAAAAGGAAGGACACAGAGAUGCUCCAGUGGCUGCAGCAAAAAAAGGAUGUUCCGCCGCGAGCGCUCCAUCCCACUUCGUGGCUCUGCCGCCGCCCUGUCUAACAACCUCAGUGUACUGCAGCUUCCAGCCCGUGAUCUCACGCAUUUUGGGGUGGUUCAUGGACCGAGCGCCCAGCUUCUCAGCGCUGCCCCUGAGGGUGUGCCCUUGGCCCAGCGCCAGCUCCACGUUAAAGAGGGCGCUGGAGUGAGUCCCCCACUUAUCAC
Molecule: long non-coding RNA, 494 nt
Filed under: Rattus norvegicus (Norway rat)
Lineage: Eukaryota; Metazoa; Chordata; Mammalia; Rodentia; Muridae
Description: long non-coding RNA NONRATT021536
Source: RNAcentral